CUUGAGGGUACUCGAGUGGCGAACGGGUGAGUAACACGUGGGUGAUCUGCCCUGCACUUCGGGAUAAGCCUGGGAAACUGGGUCUAAUACCGGAUAGGAGCCAUUUUUCAGUGUGAUGGUUGGAAAGUUUUUUCGGUGUAGGAUGAGCUCGCGGCCUAUCAGCUUGUUGGUGGGGUAAUGGCCUACCAAGGCGGCGACGGGUAGCCGGCCUGAGAGGGUGGACGGCACAUUGGGACUGAGAUACGGCCCAGACUCCUACGGGAGGCAGCAGUGGGGAAUAUUGCACAAUGGGCGCAAGCCUGAUGCAGCGACGCCGCGUGGGGGAUGACGGCCUUCGGGUUGUAAACUCCUUUCGCUAGGGACGAAGCUUUUUGUGACGGUACCUAGAUAAGAAGCACCGGCUAACUACGUGCCAGCAGCCGCGGUAAUACGUAGGGUGCGAGCGUUGUCCGGAAUUACUGGGCGUAAAGGGCUCGUAGGUGGUUUGUCGCGUCGUCUGUGAAAUUCCGGGGCUUAACUCCGGGCGUGCAGGCGAUGCGGGCAUAACUUGAGUACUGUAGGGGUAACUGGAAUUCCUGGUGUAGCGGUGAAAUGCGCAGAUAUCAGGAGGAACACCGAUGGCGAAGGCAGGUUACUGGGCAGUUACUGACGCUGAGGAGCGAAAGCAUGGGUAGCGAACAGGAUUAGAUACCCUGGUAGUCCAUGCCGUAAACGGUGGGCGCUAGGUGUGAGGGUCUUUUCACGACUUUCGUGCCGUAGCUAACGCAUUAAGCGCCCCGCCUGGAGAGAGUACG
This 794-nucleotide ribosomal RNA is filed under the name uncultured Actinomycetes bacterium. Its description in RNAcentral is "bacterial SSU rRNA". It matches the Rfam family "Bacterial small subunit ribosomal RNA", at positions 80 to 884 of the family's 1533-position model. Lineage: Bacteria; Bacillati; Actinomycetota; Actinomycetes. The record is from RNAcentral.